This is a long non-coding RNA of Ornithorhynchus anatinus (platypus), 1007 nucleotides long. RefSeq lists it as uncharacterized. The transcript is spliced from 2 exons. The record is from RefSeq and is a predicted model, not a curated record. NCBI's taxonomy places the organism in Eukaryota, Metazoa, Chordata, Mammalia, Monotremata, Ornithorhynchidae.
CCACGUGAUGCCACAGCUGCCAGGCCUAAGGCAGAUAAAAGGAGGUUGCUUUGACACAUCCAGGCUCUUGCAGGAAGCACAGAGGGAAAUACCUGUCACAGAAGCAACAGGAGAGCAGCAUGUCGAAGCAGAAAGAAGAAACAUUGGCAGAAUGGGCUCCUUUGACCACAGACUGGUACUGGACCUUUGGUUCAACAAAUUCAAGGUGAUAUCAUUUCUACCGCGAAUCUGUCGUGACACACGGUUCCAGAGAACCUGCAAAAACAACCCUGCCUAAAUUUUCGGAAUUCUGCCUCAGCAGCCCGUCAACAUCUGAAGGGGAGCAGGUGUGAGCGGCACGAAGCAGGAAAAUUUGUGCAGAUGGCACGGCGGUCAAGCGAGGAAACUCUCUAUUCCCCUCUGAUUUGACGCUUGUGGAUAGUGUGAAAAUACCAGUCGGGAUUAAGUGUGGCCUGCUAAUGUUCUUUAUUGACUCAGGAAAAAUGCACCAAAUGAACGGCUGGCCGUACCACCCAGAGAUAUGCAACAUCUGUGAAUGUUCCAUCAAAUUAGGGCUUCCUUGUAGCAAUACGGACAAAUUCAAGCCAAGUGGAGGAGCUCGGGAGCCAAAAAUAGAUGAAACGACUGAGCCCUUUCUCUGUGUUGUGCCAGAGGCGUACUGUACUGUUUUUCUUAGAGAAUGUUUGCAUUUGUAAAGGCAAAUGGCAGACUUUCCCAGGCAGGUGCAGAAUUGUUAUAUUAAGUUGUCGAUAUGAAAAUUAGACACUCACGAUUCAUUAUUCCAAUAUUUACAAAGUCGCCAUAUUUCACACAGCCUGAAUUGAUGUAAAGCCUGUCAAUAUUUUUGUUUGGCGACAUCUUUGAUGUAUGAACACAAAAGACAUUUUGCCAGAGCUAAUGAUUCAAAACUCUCACUAAGACCAACAGCCGAAAAAUUUUCCUUCUACAUCUUCUAUCUCCACCUUCUUAACGGCUUAUUGAAGAUGGCUUUCCAUUUUGUGUUUUAA